RNAcentral lists this ribosomal RNA (445 nucleotides) under uncultured bacterium. RNAcentral's name for it is "SSU rRNA". It matches the Rfam family "Bacterial small subunit ribosomal RNA", at positions 26 to 518 of the family's 1533-position model. The record is from RNAcentral.
AGAGCGAACGCUGGCGGCAGGCCUAAUACAUGCAAGUCGAACGGAUCCUUCGGGAUUAGUGGCGGACGGGUGAGUAACACGUGGGAACGUACCCUUUGGUUCGGAACAACUCAGGGAAACUUGAGCUAAUACCGAAUGUGCCCUUCGGGGAAAAGAUUUAUCGCCAUUGGAGCGGCCCGCGUCUGAUUAGCUAGUUGGUAGGGUAAAGGCCUACCAAGGCUACGAUCAGUAGCUGGUCUGAGAGGAUGAUCAGCCACACUGGGACUGAGACACGGCCCAGACUCCUACGGGAGGCAGCAGUAGGGAAUCUUGCGCAAUGGGCGAAAGCCUGACGCAGCCAUGCCGCGUGAAUGAUGAAGGUCUUAGGAUUGUAAAAUUCUUUCAGCGGGGACGAUAAUGACGGUACCGCAGAAGAAGCCCCGGCUAACUUCGUGCCAGCAGCCGC